CGGGAACAGAAGGCAGCUCUGUCAGGCUGUGUCCUCUUCUUGUGAGAAAAGGGAAUAUCAAAGGCAAGACAGGAGUCAUGAGGGAGUAGAGUGGAGUUGGGGGUAUAAGCAAAGAGAUUCAACGAGAUGAGGUGAAAGGAGGCAGUGCUUCAGAGAAGACUUUCAGAGUCGAUGAGAGGCGUUACGUAAUUUGUGCAGAUGGCAGUUUGAGUGUCUCUCUCUCUCCUCCCUAUGUUAUAUCCCCACCUCUGCCAGGACACAUUAUCCUCUCAUUCAGGAGGGUGUUUUAGGUCUAACUUUGAUCAUUUGUGCUGUUUACGGUGUGUGUGUGUGUGUGUGUGUGUGCAUGCGUAUGUGCAUUGGAUAGGACACAAAUGAACUUACGGAAAUACCACGUCAUACACAACUACUGGGAGCCUGGUUCAGGUUUCGGGUUUUGACCUGGAAUCUUCAUCUGUCAGAUAGGCAGGCUGUUAAGCAUGUCUUUCAUCCUGUUUUCCUUCUUUCACCCCAACCGGUCGCAGCAGAUGGCCCCGCCCCUCCCUGAGCCUGGUUCUGCCGGAGAUUUCUUCCUGUUAAAAGGGAGUUUUUCCUUCCCACUGUUGCCAAAGUGCUUGCUCAUAGGGGGUCAUAUGAUUGUUGGGUUUUUCUCUGUAUUUAUUAUUGUGCUAUCUACUGUACAAUAUAAAGCGCCUUGAGGCGACUUUUGUUGUGAUUUGGC
Oreochromis aureus is the source of this 721-nucleotide long non-coding RNA. The record is from Ensembl. NCBI's taxonomy places the organism in Eukaryota, Metazoa, Chordata, Actinopteri, Cichliformes, Cichlidae.